CCCUGAUGCAGCAACGCCGCGUGAGUGAAGAAGGCAUUCGUGUCGUAAAACUCUGUAGUAGGGGAAGAAAGAAAUGACAGUACCCUAAAAGAAAGCCCCGGCUAACUACGUGCCAGCAGCCGCGGUAAUACGUAGGGGGCAAGCGUUAUCCGGAAUAACUGGGCGUAAAGGGUGCGCAGGUGGUUUAACAAGUUAGUGGUGAAAGGCAUAGGCUCAACCAAUGUAAGCCAUUAAAACUGUUUAACUUGAGUGCAGGAGAGGAAAGUGGAAUUCCUAGUGUAGCGGUGAAAUGCGUAGAUAUUAGGAGGAAUACCAGUGGC
Molecule: ribosomal RNA, 320 nt
Filed under: Filifactor alocis
Lineage: Bacteria; Bacillati; Bacillota; Clostridia; Peptostreptococcales; Filifactoraceae
Description: bacterial SSU rRNA
Rfam family: Bacterial small subunit ribosomal RNA
Source: RNAcentral